Molecule: long non-coding RNA, 717 nt
Filed under: Gorilla gorilla gorilla (western lowland gorilla)
Lineage: Eukaryota; Metazoa; Chordata; Mammalia; Primates; Hominidae
Description: lncRNA (ENSGGOG00000044492.1)
Source: RNAcentral
GGGCAUCCGAAGCAGAAGUGUUCCAGCCUAUUCAGCAGCGAGUGGUUGGAAAUUAGCAAAGUGAGAGGGUGCGUGGCGUAACUGAGGGACUCGGGGAGGCUGAGGGCUUUUUUUCUCAAAACUGUGAAGCUCAGGGAAAGGAGUAGAACUGGGAACCAAGUAAAGUAAAAUCGUGGCAAGUGGGCAUAGUCCUGAAAUCUCCUUCGUGAGGGCCCUCCAGUUGGGAACCCAGAACGUGCAGCUCAAUGUAUGUUUGGAAUGAAUAGGUGAAAGGAAGCAGGAGGAGGAGGGAGUUCUAGCGAAGACUCCGGAGGGAAGCAACCCAUCCCCUGCCGCAAGAAAGCACUGCCACUCCAGUGGGAACGGACACGCGUGCACACAGCCACGAGUGAGAGCUGGCGAAGCUGGGCCAAGGAAAGCGAUAGUGCCAGCUGAGUGGAAUGUGCAGGAAGGGACCGAGGAGGGGCACUAUGUACUGGAGAAAAGAGAUGGGGUCUCCAGGACAGGGGAGAUGGUGAUGACACUCCCAAGUCCAUGUGGGAAUCCCUCCUUCUGUGGGCCUCAGUCUGUCAUCUUCCUUGGAGCAGGACCAAAGUAAAUAAGAUAAAGUCACAAUUUCUCAUCCUUCUUCACUCAACUUUUCUUUGAGGUGAGUUGGCAUUUUUGUAAAAGAAUGCAUUCUCUGCCAGGUGCGGUGGCUCACCCCUGUAAUCCCAG